AUUGAACGCUGGCGGCAUGCUUUACACAUGCAAGUCGAACGGUAACAGGCCUUCGGGUGCUGACGAGUGGCGAACGGGUGAGUAAUGCAUCGGAACGUACCCAGAGGUGGGGGAUAACGCAGCGAAAGCUGUGCUAAUACUGCAUGUGAUCUGAGGAUGAAAGCGGGGGACCGAGCAGCAAUGUUUGGCCUCGCGCCUUUGGAGCGGCCGAUGUCGGAUUAGCUAGUUGGUGGGGUAAAGGCCUACCAAGGCGACGAUCCGUAGCUGGUCUGAGAGGGCGACCAGCCACACGGGGAGUGAGACACGGCCCAGACUCCUACGGGAGGCAGCAGUGGGGAAUUUUGGAAGAUGGGCGCAAGCCUGAUCCAGCAAUGCCGCGUGCGGGAAGAAGGCCUUCGGGUUGUAAACCGCUUUUGGCAGGAACGAAACGGUGUCCGCUAAUACCGGGCGCUAAUGACGGUACCUGCAGAAUAAGCACCGGCUAACUACGUG
This 492-nucleotide ribosomal RNA is filed under the name uncultured bacterium. RNAcentral describes it as "partial 16S ribosomal RNA". It matches the Rfam family "Bacterial small subunit ribosomal RNA", at positions 29 to 507 of the family's 1533-position model. The record is from RNAcentral.